GAUUGUUAUUAUGGGAGCGUACAAGGAAAGAGAGAAAAUAGUGAAGACUCACCAGAAAGAGGACCAGAGCAUGUGGAGACAAAGAUGUUACACCGAGAGGUAUAAAAUGAAACGAAGCUAAAGGAAUGGCUCACAGUGACUGAAUUUUGUAGAUGAUUGAUGAUCGGAAGUUUAAGCCAGCCCCUUGCAGAGGUUGAGUUUGUCCGUUAUUUGAAGCCAAAGGCAUGCUAACUAUAAGAAUGGCUUUCACCCUGCGCUCAGCCUUGUCCUCCGGCAACUUUUGACGGGUAGAGACACACCCUUUGUUCUUCAGCCUAUGAUUUCCUCCACCUCCUGCAUUAAACUGAACUGUGAAUGGAGAGAGAUUCCACGCUGUUGAAACUAUCAAGUCAAAUGACCUUCUGAAGGACGCUUUAAAAGGGGCAUUUCAAAUAAAUUUCAACAGGUGGCCCAAGGGAAAGAUGAACACUCUGUGCUGCCUUCUCCUGAGGAGCAAGCCAGGAGGUUGAACAUAUUGAUCUCAGAUCAGAAAGGCAAGUCAUUGCGUAUACUCACACUGCGGUUUUAAAG
This is a non-coding RNA of Equus caballus (horse), 570 nucleotides long. The record is from RefSeq and is a predicted model, not a curated record. NCBI's taxonomy places the organism in Eukaryota, Metazoa, Chordata, Mammalia, Perissodactyla, Equidae.